Molecule: ribosomal RNA, 253 nt
Filed under: uncultured bacterium
Lineage: Bacteria
Also listed under: 1 other name
Description: partial 16S ribosomal RNA
Rfam family: Bacterial small subunit ribosomal RNA
Source: RNAcentral
UACGUAGGGUGCGAGCGUUAAUCGGAAUUACUGGGCGUAAAGCGUGCGCAGGCGGUAAGUUAAGUCUGAUGUGAAAGCCCCGGGCUCAACCUGGGAAUGGCAUUGGAAACUGGCUUGCUGGAGUGUGGCAGAGGGGGGUGGAAUUCCGCGUGUAGCAGUGAAAUGCGUAGAGAUGCGGAGGAACACCGAUGGCGAAGGCAGCCCCCUGGGCCAACACUGACGCUCAGGCACGAAAGCGUGGGGAGCAAACAGG